GUAAAGUAUCACCGCUUUUUUCAAUUAAAAAUGAAUACCAAAACAAAACAACUGGAAGCAUGAUAUUUCUCCGCUGUGUUGUUGUUCUCAGAUGGUUGGGUGGAUAAUAAUGGUGCAGAUUUACCCGAAACAAACGGAAAUGGAAACGGUCGGCACAAACCUGUGGUAGACAUGCAGAAAGGUAUGUUGAAAUAUAAAAACAUAUGAAACCUAUAAACGAGAGCGAACUGCAGUGUGUGUCUGGAUUUGUUCACAGGUGACCCUCAAGGCGUUCAUCUGGACAUCAGUAUGUAUCUAGCAAUAAAACACACACAACUAAUCAACACACUAUCACAACGUUAUAUUACUGACAGACUACUAUCCUGGAAUCGAUGUGAAUAUUCCCAAAUGUCUUUCCAAACAGGCGGAACAGGCCAUCAGGACGCUGCAACGGCGAUGCAUCACACAGCUGUUGGUGCACUUGAUCUAAACGACCACACUCUCAGUCCCUACACAGACACCACUGGAUUUGACGGUGUCAUUGGUGCAGGAGCGCAGACAGAUAUGGCAGGUGCAGGAGGUGAUCCAGCGACUGACGGACAGACUUUAACAGACAUGACAGGUGAGUGCACCACAUUAUGCAAAGGAGUUAUUCAAAUAAAAAUGAAAUAUUUAUUAUUUGCUGUUUCCUGUUAUUCAGGGCAGGGACAUUUAGCUGUGACAGAUGGCAUGCCAAAUUACACAGGUAACCACAUCUGCUCAGCACAUGCAGACACAUGUCAGUCUAUCACUCAUGCGAGGGUUUUAAUGUGA
This 792-nucleotide long non-coding RNA is filed under the name Carassius auratus (goldfish). RNAcentral describes it as "lncRNA (ENSCARG00000024909.1)". Lineage: Eukaryota; Metazoa; Chordata; Actinopteri; Cypriniformes; Cyprinidae. The record is from RNAcentral.